RNAcentral lists this transfer RNA (69 nucleotides) under Bolma rugosa. RNAcentral's name for it is "tRNA-Ala". The record is from RNAcentral. Lineage: Eukaryota; Metazoa; Mollusca; Gastropoda; Trochida; Turbinidae.
GGUGCUAUACUUUACAUUAAAAGGUCUGAUUUGCAUUUAGAAAACGAAGAAUUUGCUCUUCUGGUGCCA